Molecule: ribosomal RNA, 253 nt
Filed under: uncultured bacterium
Lineage: Bacteria
Description: partial 16S ribosomal RNA
Rfam family: Bacterial small subunit ribosomal RNA
Source: RNAcentral
UACGUAGGGUGCAAGCGUUGCUCGGAAUCAUUGGGCGUAAAGAGUAGGUAGGUGGAAUCGUAAGUCAGGCGUGAAAGCCUGGGGCUCAACCCCAGAAGUGCGCUUGAUACUGCAAUUCUAGAUUUCGGAAGAGGGGAACAGAAUUCCUAGUGUAGGGGUAAAAUCCGUAGAUAUUAGGAGGAAUACCAGAGGCGAAGGCGGUUCCCUAGGCCGACAAUGACACUGAGCUACGAAAGCGUGGGUAGCAAACAGG